RNAcentral lists this ribosomal RNA (88 nucleotides) under Pseudomonas orientalis. RNAcentral also lists the same sequence under 3 other names. Lineage: Bacteria; Pseudomonadati; Pseudomonadota; Gammaproteobacteria; Pseudomonadales; Pseudomonadaceae. The record is from RNAcentral.
CUUGACGACCAUAGAGCAUUGGAACCACCUGAUCCCAUCCCGAACUCAGCAGUGAAACGAUGCAUCGCCGAUGGUAGUGUGGGGUUUC